AAACUGUCCCUCCCAGUUCACUGUUUAUUGGACACUACGACCCCGACCACCAUCCUGAUACUGCGAUAGCGAUUUUUCAGUGGAUUUAAUUUCAAGAGCUGGGGCUGUCAAUUCGCUGUGUAUUGGACACUACGACCCCGAUCACCAUCCUGAUACUGUGAUAGCCAUUUUUAAUUGGAUUUAAUUACUGCAGCUUAAACUGUCCCUCCCAGUUCACUGUUAAUUGGACACCAAGACCCCGAUCACCAUCCUGAUACUGUAAAAAUGACUUUAAUUCAUUGGAUCAGUACUGCAUUCAGCUUAAACUGUCUCUCCCAGUUCGCUGUUUAUUGGACACUACGACCCCGAUCACCAUCCUGAUACUGUGAUAGCCAUUUUUCAUUGGAUUUAAUUACUGCAGCUUAAACUGUCCCUCCCAGUUUGCUAUCUAUUGGACACUCAAGACCCCGAUCACCAUCCUGAUACUGUAAAAAUGAUUUUAAUUCAUUGGAUCAGUACUGCAUUCAGCUUAAACUGUCUCUCCCAGUUCGCUGUGUAUUGGACACUACGACCCCGAUCACCAUCCUGAUACUGUGAUAGCGAGUUUUCAUUGGAUUUAAUUACUGCAGCUUAAACUGUCCCUCCCAGUUUGCUGUUUAUUGGACACUACGACCCCGAUCACCAUCCUGAUACUCCACUGUGCAUGCUAUUUUCGGGAUGUUUCACGCCGAGUGCAGUUCGCAACUCGUUGUGUUAGCAAUACCGGAAUAUGGAUGCGGUUCCGCCAGCAAGGACAAGGCAAGUGUGGUUACUCAUGUUCAAAAUGUGGAGUUUGGUUUUUACUUGAAAAUAAAUGUAUUUUACCCUGUAUAAUCUAAGGUUGUGAUGGUUAGAAAAAACAAUUACCAUGCUGUUCAGAGUAGCGGACUGGCCAUGCACGGCACCACGCCCCUUUUUAACUUAGGUCUGGACUCUUGUCUUAGGCCCCAUGUCACAAUGGAAAUUGACAGAAGUUGCCUUAAAUUGACAAAGAUUGCGCAACAUUAUGCAAAGUUGACAUGCAAGUUUAGGCAACUUUGCAUUUGCUUGGGCAACUUUGCGCCAUUUCCGGCAAUUUUGCGCCCAUUUCUGGCAAUUUUCCGCAACUUCCGGCAAUUUUGCGCAACCUUGCGCCAUUUCCGGCAAUUUUGCGCCCAUUUCUGGCAAUUUUCCGCAACUUCCGGCAAUUUUGUGCCCAUUUCUGACAAUUUUCCGCAACUUCCGGCAAUUUUGCGCAACUUUGCGCCAUGUCCAGCAAUUUUACGCAACUUCGCGCCAUUUUCCGGCAUUUUUGUGCAAUUUUGCGCCAUUUCGGGCAAUUUUGCGCAACUUUGCACCAUUUCAGGCAAUUUUGUACAACUUUGCGCCAUUUCCAGCAAUUUUGUGCAACUUAGCACAUUUUCAGGAAACUUUGGAAAAGUUUGCACAACUUAAUGUAAUUUAGAGAAACUUGGUGCAUCUAUGAGAAAGUUUUUGAAACUCUGUGCAAUAUCAAACAUUUUUUAGCAAUUUUUAGCACCUGCACACAAUACAAUGCCACUUUGAGCAGGUUUUCAAAAUAUAUAUAUUGACUUUUGGUGCCUGCUCUCUUUCAUUCGUCUCAAAAUCUUAUCUUGGCAUAUGAUUUCAAAUAUCAGGACUUUAUAAUAAUACUAUUGCAUCUUUCCUGUGGUCAUGCACUUCUGCCAAACAAUCACAUAGUUGAACAUCAUCUUUGAAACUCUGUAUUCAUACAUGUACUUCAGUCACAGAGUAUGAGGACACCAAGAAUGGUGCAAUGUCAGAUGUGCAUGUAUAUGAAAGAUUUCUUUAAUUUUUUUUAUUAAUUUUUUAAUCCUCUAGCCCUCUAUAAUAUUUUGUUCAUAUCUAAAGGGAUCAAGGAGAAAAUAUUAACAUUCAUGUGGUUCCAAAAUCUCCAUAUAUGCAAUACGGUAAAGUGGGGGAUGAUGCUGUGGAACGGAUCACCCACCUUUUAAAUUCUUUGGGAGAUAAUUACAUGGAACUCUAGCAUUAACUAAUUAAAUAUACUAUCGCAAAUCUAACGAUGACAUGCAAUGCCAGGAGUAUUUUAUGUGGUACUAGUGAACAAAAUAAAAAGACCUGCUUGCAAAAAUAUUUUGUAAUGGAAGAAACAAUUUAUUAUACUUAAAAAUGUGAUACAUGUGAUAUGACUGCUGGAUUUUGUUUACUACCCUUCCUCUAACUGUAUUGAACAGUUCGUCGGCAUUGUCUCUUAAUGACAUAAACCAGUUUUGGCAAAAUUGAUCAUGAAGUAUAGUGGGGGGGGGGGGGGUCAGGAAAAAGCAUUUAUCAUAGUGAGAUAUAACUUCCAUAAUUACACACAUUAAGAAGAUUUUUGUGGCACUGAAAAUGGAGAAUUAAAUAUUGCUGACUUAGAAGGAACUUUUGUCCUGUGGCCAUUUUCACCAUUAACACUUGUGUAAUAAAACACUCGCCAUGAGUCCCUUAAACUAUGUGCUUCCUUUAACUUAAUCAUGGUUAAGAGAUUCCCUUAAGGGUACAGGAUGCUUUCUUUGUAGCGCAGCUACAAAAAGAUAAUUUUCAUGGUUUAGAAUAGGAGAUUAAUGACAAAUAAACCCUGAAUGCUUUUCUUGGUCAUGGAAUACAAGUCGUACAUUUUGUACACUUUAAAUAAUUUCUUAAUGUAUUGUGGUUUUUCAGUUAUGUGUCAUUUUAUGAAGAUGGUCCAUUUCAACUCUUUUUACAUCAUAAUUGAAGAACCACAAGACCCACAAAAUUGUAACUGGAUAUUUGGAUUCAGCAUCACACCUGAUUUAAAAUCUUUACAAAUUUCACUAUAGCCGAUUAGGACUCGCAAGUUACGAUGAACGACCAAAUCUCCUAUGUCAAAAGGUCCUGUAGCCUUAAGUUUACCUCAAAUUUAAUUUUUUUCCAUUGUCUUAAGUUAUAAUAAGCAUAUUUAGAGCUGGAUUUUGCUGUAAACCCAACUAAAAUUAUUUGAGUUACUGUUGUAAUGGUAUGGCCAAUUUAGUGCAGCUGAAAAUAACAAAAUACAAAGGGAUUUGAACACUGUAACUGGCUAUAUCUCAAAAUCAACACAUCUGACAAAUUACUGAAUUCAUUUGAUCACAUCACCUAUUAAUGCCUUUAUAACCUAAAUUAAUAGUACAAAUGAGUUAUUACUGUAAACAGGUAGAGGCAUGUGACAAAUAUUGAAACACUUUUGCAUUAUAUCCUAAAUUUUCCAGUAGGGAUUAAUGCACAAAAUCUAGUUUAGAUCAUUAAAUCCCCACUCAUGUACUUCAGGGUAGGGAAAACAAAACAAAACAAACAAAAAAACAUUCCAAAGCUUGUAUGUCCCACAGAAUUCAAAACUGGCAUUGAACUAGUUGUGAAUGACCCUAAAGGUCGAAUAUUGAUUCAUAUGUAGAGUACAAAUGCCACUUUUAGGUGCUUUUGGACAUAACUUUUUAUUAUAUAUAUAUAUACAGUGCAUCCCAAAAAGAACUAUACACUUUUGAAAUGGCUACCAAAUAAAGGUAAUAAGAUUCUUGGGUAAAAUGUUUAUAUUUAUAUAAAGCUCAUAUCCUUAACUAUCAUUAUGACACCAAAAAUUCUGAAAAAAACGCAUGCUUCAGUGAGUAAUGCCCACUUUUGUAAAGGACACAAAAAUUACCCUGCGCAGGAAUUCACUAUUCAUUUUGCACGUGGUUAUGAAACGCCAUGAAGGAGUCAAAAUUAAUGAUGGAAUAAAUCAGCAAACAGAGUCAAAAAUAAACCAAGAGUUAAAAAAACAAUCAAUAUUAUGCAAAAAUGUAAUAUUUUACUGUUUUGUUUUCAUAUCAUUGAUUUUUGCCUGUACUUCAAUUUAUUUUUGUCUUUGUUGGUCUUUGCGGACUCGUUCGGUAUUUUCAUGGCUUGUGCGGUAUAUUCUCGUAUCACACUCAAAGCCAUCCAAUAUUAUAUAAAUAUUGGCCAAGAUAUCUCUGGAUAUUAAUUAUCAUUUUAUUUUACUGAAGUCCUUGUUUCUUUUCAGAGAUAGACUUUCAUCUGGCUCAAGGAGUCCUCCUCGUGGAUCAAAGAGUCCUUCAUCACAUAGGAGAAGAGACAGGUAUGCGAGUUUUGAAGUGUUAACAAGAUAUUAAAGGCACGAGACCCAAUUUUUACUGUAGGAAAUUUUCUAACCUAGGUUAAGAGCUACACUAAAAUAGCUUUAUUCUCUCAAGUUUCAUCAAAAUCGCUCCGUUUGGAAGUUAGAUGCAAAAAUGUGUAUGAAAAUGCUCCAUUCAAAAUUACAUUACUUCCGCUGUGGUUAACCACAUUUCUCAAUAAAUAGCAGUUAUUUUGUUCAUAUCUUCUAAUCAAAAUACAUUUCAGGCAUAAAAUUUCACAGGGAUUAUGAGAAAAAUAUCAGCUUUCCAGUGAUACCAAAAUCUCCAAUUCGAUGGGGUAAAGUAGGGGGAUGAUGCUGCGGAUUGGGUCACCCACCCACCCAAACAGGGUGUUACCAUGAUAAUUUGCUCAGUAUUUUUUAUUCUUUUCAGAGGCAGAUCCAGGUAUAAUUCCUCUGGCUCAAGGAGUCCUUCACCACGAAGAGACUGGUAUGUGUAAGGUUACACUCAGGGUUUAUGACAAAACUGUGUGUGUGGAUAGGUACAUGCAAAGCUAUGCAUGUUGUUGUUGUCAUUUUUUUUCCAACUUGAUCAAAAAUCAAAGGGAAACACAUAGGCAGGUCGACAGAUGCAGACAAAACCUUGCUUUAUUAUAAUAUUGACAACUUGCAACAUUCCUCUGACUCAAGGAGUCCUUCACCACCACACAGGAGAAGAGACAGGUAUGUGGGUCCUUGGAGUUCAUAAUAAGAUAAUGCUUUUUUAGAAAAUCAACAUGUGUUUUCACAUCAAUAAAUUAAUGUUAUUAGACCAUAGACCAUUAAUCACACAAGGUUUGUCAUAUCUGAGAUUUUCAUGGUUGAAACAUACAGAAUUUGAUUUUGCCAUUUGCUGUUAGUUGGCAUUAUGCAUUCUGCGUCCAUUAUCUAUUGCUUGCACAUGUAGACAAACAAAGGUGUCAGAAACCUAAUGUCAAUUAAAUUAUGUAUUUCAGCAAGAUCUUCAUAAGUGAAUUUGAUCUUCCAACAGAUCUAUCUUAAAAUUUAACCAUACCUAUAAAGCAGAUUUGAUUUUCCACAGAUGUUACCAUUUAUUAUCAAUAAAAUAGUUUUACUUGCAAAAUGGUGUAGAGUUUCAAGCAGCACACGGCAUCUUAUGUUAGUAUUGAGCAAAACACAUUGGAAGACCCAUCCGAAUGCCGACUCUGAGUUGGUGGUAAUUUGAUUUUUCAAACUAUUAAAAGUUGUCAAUGUUCUCAUUCCAGGUCACGAUCAAGGUUGCAUUUUAGGUCAAGAAGUAGGUCUAGAUCAGUGACACACUCUUCGUAUAGGAGAAGCGGAAACAGGUCACGAUCAAGGUUGCGCUCCAGGUCAAGAAGUAGGUCUAGAUCAGUGACGCGCUCGUCGUAUAGGAGGAACAGAAACAGGUAUUCGUUUUUUUCCUUGUUUGAAAAUUUUAGUGGAAAAUAAUUUUGUAAAACGACUAACCAGCAUAAAGAGGCCCCUGAAUGAUCAACACACACACAUUAGUAAAGCGUUUUAUGAACCAAGUCCCGCGACUCUCGGCUAUUGUGCAAUCGGCACCUAUAUGUCUAUACACACCAAAUUCCUAGAUUGGACCGUAUAGCCUGGUUUAGCGGCGGACAGACUGGACUCCCACGCAAGUUACAUGUGGUCAAUGAAUUUUAAAAGCGAAUGUCAUGAAGAAAACAAAUACUUUAAACAUGCAGGUUGCUUAAAGUAACUGGUAAAACAUAUGCAAAAGUUUUGUUAUACAAAGCAUGAGAGCCUGUUAAUGAAAGGUUGUACAAAUGUAGCCAAAUAAGGAUUUGUAAUUUCACAUAACAUUAGUAAACUUGAUUCCUACAAACUUGUCUAGCAAACUUCUUUUAGGAAGAACAAUUUUCCAGUCAUGGGAUGACUAAUGACUAUUAAAAGUUGUCAAUGUUCUCAUUCCAGGUCACGAUCAAGGUUGCGCUCCAGGUCAAGAAGUAGGUCUAGAUCAGUGACGCGCUCGUCGUAUAGGAGAAACAGAAACAGGUCACAAUCAAGGUUGCGCUCCAGGUCAAGAAGUAGGUCCAGAUCAGUGACGCCCUCUUCAUAUAGGAGAAGCGGAAACAGGUAUUCGUUUUUUUUUUUUUCCUUCUUUGAACAUUUUAUUGGAAAAUAAGUUUGUAAAACAACUAACCAGCUUAAAAGGCCCCUGAAUGAUCAACACACACACACACACAUAUUAGUCAAGCGUUUUAUGAACCAAGUCCCGCGACUCUCGGCUAUUGUGCAAUCGGCCUCUAUAUAAUUAUCUAUAGGGCCUAAAUUGUACACACCAAAUUUCUAUAUAGAUUUGACUGUAUAGCUUGGCUUAGUGACUUACCGACUGCACUCCCACGCGAUUGACACAGGGUUGAUCGUGCGUACAAAUUUUUUCUUCCCCCUCCUCUCACACAUAUUUCCAUUGAACUUAUGGGAUGGUUGCUGCCAUGCCUGUGACUGUUGGGAGGGGUUCAUUUUUGGAUAGCCCUAUGAAAGGGCAGAGGAGGGGAUCUCUUUUAAAAUCAUAGACAUUCCAUGAUUCUAGCAACCUCUUUUUAGAACCUAUCAGUAGAUACACAUGAAAAAUGCUUAUUUAUAAAUUUCAGUUGAUUAUAUGUAUUAUAAUGCACCAUAGGCUACUGCAUUGUAAUAGAAAAUGCAUACAAUGUUUUCUUUUGUCACAAACAACAUGUUCUUGCUUCAGUAUUUCUUAUUUUUUAUGACUUGGCUACGAAAUUAACAAACUUUUGAAAAAUUAAAAUUUUCAUGUGAUCCUCCUCACAGAAUGUGUGAUUGUCCCUUUAACUGAGUGAACAGGUCAAAAAUAAUACUACAAACAAUAAAUUAAGUCAACAUGUAGUAAAGUGUAAGAAGUAGAACUAGAGCAACUGUGCUUCAAAAACACAAAAUAAGGCAACAUACAGUGGUAUAUGAAAUAAAUGGAACUAGAGCAAAAAAAAAUAAAAAAUAAAAUAACGACAGCAAAAUUAGAACAACCGUGCUUCAAAAACACAUGUACAGUAGCGUGAUUUUGCAUUUUCAAAUUAUGCAUGUAUUUGUGUAUUACCUUGCUCCAUAGGCUACUGUUCUAAUUUCUCUCGCAUACAAAAAACAUUUCCUUGCCACUGUGCUUCAGUAUUUCAUUUUAAUGAAUUUGCUACCAAAGCAAUACAAAUUUUCAGUUGAUCCUCCUCACAGAAUGUGUGAAUUAAUUAAUAUCAAUGUAAAACCAUUCUUGCUGUUGUAUAAUAAUUUGAGAUUACAUUCAAAAUAUUGUAAUUAACAAUAAAUAUAAACAUUGAAACACUUGUGUCGUCUUUUUAAAUUAUAACUUAUGUUUGCCAUCAUUUUUUAUUAAACUAUGGACACUUUUUAUAUUCUAUGACACCAAUGAGGUAAAAAAAAAUAUCUACAUCCAAACUGUUUGUAUUUUGAUAUUAAAUUAACCUGGGGAGCGUUUCA
This is a long non-coding RNA of Lytechinus variegatus (green sea urchin), 7606 nucleotides long. RefSeq lists it as uncharacterized. The record is from RefSeq and is a predicted model, not a curated record. Lineage: Eukaryota; Metazoa; Echinodermata; Echinoidea; Temnopleuroida; Toxopneustidae. The transcript is spliced from 3 exons.